UUUAAUAUAAUCCUAGAUUCCUAGAUUUAUUGAUCCCCCCAAAAUCUAAUAAACUCCUCAAUUUCCUCAGCAAACAAGAACAAGAACUCAGCUUUCACACACACAAUUUCAUCUAGUGUGUGUAAGCUGCUGCUGCUUUGCAAAUUUCAGCUGAUUGACCGGCGAUGCGUUUCACUUUUGGCGGCGCCCAAAACCCUAACAUGUGAAAUCGCCAUCCUCACCUCAAAAAGACCCAAUCUUGAACCCUAAUUCCAGCCCCAACAAGAAAAUGCGCGACCCGGACGUGUAAGAAAAUUGAUGAGAACCCAGGACUGGAUGAGCAUUUGGGAUCAUGUAUGAUUCUUGAGGAGUUGCAUUUGAGGAAGUGUCACAUGCAAGGCAAGCAGGGUGUGAAGGCGUUGUUUGUAGUUUGUCGGAGUAUUAGAGAGCUGGUUCUUGAGGACUGCUGGGGAUUGGAUGACAGUGUCUUUGCUGCUGCCACUAUUUUUAGUGGCUGCAUAAUUGAUUUUGCAAUACUGAAGUUGAGUUGAACAUUACGAUAAACCAAGUCAAAAAUGAGGACGGUGGAAAUUUUGCGCUAACUGCAUAUUUUGAUGAUGGCAAGUUAUCUUCAGCAGGAGCAUAAGAUCUCUCUCACUGAAAGGAUGCUCAAUACUGACAACACAAGGACUAGAAUCAGUACUCCUUUCUUGGAGGGAGCUUGAUAGGCUUAGAGUAGUUUCGUGUAACAAUAUUAAAGACAGUGAAAUAACUGCAGAACUAGUGACCUUAUUUUCCCUUCUCAAAGAGCUAAAGUGGCAGCCGGAUUCCCGGUCAAUGCUAUCUGCUAGCCUUGCUGGUACAGGUAUUGGACAGAAAGGCAGUAGAUCUCUCAGGUGGAACUAACGAUCUAAGCCACGAUUCCACUCACAUGUGCUUGUAUCCAUUUUGUUUGAGUGUAUUGAAUACAACCUUUUCCAGGUGAAGCCAACAAUUUUUGGUUCGGUGCUUGAUGAAGAUAAAAGUACAUCCAACCCAAUGAAGUUUUCCACUUUCUCUCUGUAAACUUGCUUAGCCUCUUUAAUCAUAUACAGUUUCUACCCUUUAUGGUGUAUUUUCUCACUGAUAAUAGUGUAGAACAGUUAGGAGUUGAGAAGCUGGAGUUUUAGUGAUGACUUUAGAUGCAGACACAAAUUUUAGAAGCAUAAUCCAUGAAAUCAGUUGUGGUGGCAGAGCUUCUUGUAUUUGUUACAAUAAUUUGCUAAUUCAAGCUGUAUGAAUUCUUCUUAUAAAUGAAUGAUUUUUUUGUUCCCAAAA
RNA transcript from Salvia splendens (bonfire salvia), 1296 nucleotides. It is a transcript of the gene named F-box protein At5g51380, with no coding region annotated. The record is from RefSeq and is a predicted model, not a curated record. NCBI's taxonomy places the organism in Eukaryota, Viridiplantae, Streptophyta, Magnoliopsida, Lamiales, Lamiaceae. The transcript has 3 exons.